UGGGGAAUAUUGCACAAUGGGCGCAAGCCUGAUGCAGCCAUGCCGCGUGUGUGAAGAAGGCCUUCGGGUUGUAAAGCACUUUCAGCGAGGAGGAAGGUGAUGAACUUAAUACGUUCAUCAAUUGACGUUACUCGCAGAAGAAGCACCGGCUAACUCCGUGCCAGCAGCCGCGGUAAUACGGAGGGUGCAAGCGUUAAUCGGAAUUACUGGGCGUAAAGCGCACGCAGGCGGUUUGUUAAGUCAGAUGUGAAAUCCCCGGGCUCAACCUGGGAACUGCAUUUGAAACUGGCAAGCUAGAGUCUCGUAGAGGGGGGUAGAAUUCCAGGUGUAGCGGUGAAAUGCGGUAGAGAUCUGGAGGAAUACCGGUGGCGAAGGCGGCCCCCCUGGACGAAGACUGACGCUCAGGCUGCGAAAA
This 415-nucleotide ribosomal RNA is filed under the name uncultured bacterium. RNAcentral's name for it is "partial 16S ribosomal RNA". It matches the Rfam family "Bacterial small subunit ribosomal RNA", at positions 355 to 759 of the family's 1533-position model. The record is from RNAcentral.